ACUACUUCACGAAGUCUCACCAAAUUUGCACCGCAGAUAGAUAUCGGGGCAAGGAUGACUCCACUGAAUUCUGGAGGUGAUCCAGAUCCGGAAUGGCGGACGU
Molecule: long non-coding RNA, 103 nt
Organism: Thalassophryne amazonica
Lineage: Eukaryota; Metazoa; Chordata; Actinopteri; Batrachoidiformes; Batrachoididae
Exons: 2
Source: RefSeq, a predicted model, not a curated record